GAUGAACGCUAGCUACCGGUUUAACCAUGCAAGUCGAGGGGCAUCAGGAAGAAAGCUUGCUUUCUUUGCUGGCGACCGGCGCACGGGUGAGUAACACGUAUCCAACCUGCCCUUUACUCGGGGAUAGCCUUUCGAAAGAAAGAUUAAUACCCGAUAGUAUAAUGAUUCCGCAUGGUUUCAUUAUUAAAGGAUUCCGGUAAAGGAUGGGGAUGCGUUCCAUUAGGUUGUUGGUGAGGUAACGGCUCACCAAGCCUUCGAUGGAUAGGGGUUCUGAGAGGAAGGUCCCCCACAUUGGAACUGAGACACGGUCCAAACUCCUACGGGAGGCAGCAGUGAGGAAUAUUGGUCAAUGGGCGCUAGCCUGAACCAGCCAAGUAGCGUGAAGGAUGAAGGCUCUAUGGGUCGUAAACAUCUUUUAUAUGAGAAUAAAGUGCAGUAUGUAUACUGUUUUGUAUGUAUUAUAUGAAUAAGGAUCGGCUAACUCCGUGCCAGCAGCCGCGGUAAUACGGAGGAUCCGAGCGUUAUCCGGAUUUAUUGGGUUUAAAGGGAGCGUAGGUGGACUGGUAAGUCAGUUGUGAAAGUUUGCGGCUCAACCGUAAAAUUGCAGUUGAUACUGUCAGUCUUGAGUACAGUAGAGGUGGGCGGAAUUCGUGGUGAAGCGGUGAAAUGCUUAGAUAUCACGAAGAACCCCGAUUGCGAAGGCAGCACACUAAGCCGUAACUGACGUUCAUGCUCGAAAGUGUGGGUAUCAAACAGG
Molecule: ribosomal RNA, 757 nt
Filed under: uncultured bacterium
Lineage: Bacteria
Description: bacterial SSU rRNA
Rfam family: Bacterial small subunit ribosomal RNA
Source: RNAcentral